GACGAACGCUGGCGGCGUGCUUAACACAUGCAAGUCGAACGGAAAGGCCCUGCUUUUGUGGGUUGCUCGAGUGGCGAACGGGUGAGUAACACGUGAGUAACCUGCCCUUGACUUUGGGAUAACUUCAGGAAACUGGGGCUAAUACCGGAUAGGAGCUCCUGCUGCAUGGUGGGGGUUGGAAAGUUUCGGCGGUUGGGGAUGGACUCGCGGCUUAUCAGCUUGUUGGUGGGGUAGUUGCUUACCAAGGCUUUGACGGGUAGCCGGCCUGAGAGGGGGGACGGCGACAAUGGGACUGAGAGACGGACCAGACUGCUACGGGAGGCAGCAGGGGGGAAUAUUGCACAAUGGGCGGAAGCCAGAUGCAGCAACGCCGCGUGCGGGAUGACGGCCUUCGGGUUGUAAACCGCUUUCGCCUGUGACGAAGCGUGAGUGACGGUAAUGGGUAAAGAAGCACCGGCUAACUACGUG
This 468-nucleotide ribosomal RNA is filed under the name uncultured bacterium. Its description in RNAcentral is "partial 16S ribosomal RNA". It matches the Rfam family "Bacterial small subunit ribosomal RNA", at positions 28 to 507 of the family's 1533-position model. The record is from RNAcentral.